UACGUAGGGUGCAAGCGUUAAUCGGAAUUACUGGGCGUAAAGCGUGCGCAGGCGGUUUUGUAAGUCUGACGUGAAAUCCUCGGGCUCAACCUGGGAAUUGCGUUGGAGACUGCAAGGCUAGAAUCUGGCAGAGGGGGGGUAGAAUUCCACGUGUAGCAGUGAAAAUGCGUAGAGAUGUGGAGGAACACCGAUGGCGAAGGCAGCCCCCUGGGUCAAGAUUGACGC
RNAcentral lists this ribosomal RNA (225 nucleotides) under uncultured bacterium. RNAcentral describes it as "partial 16S ribosomal RNA". It matches the Rfam family "Bacterial small subunit ribosomal RNA", at positions 524 to 746 of the family's 1533-position model. The record is from RNAcentral.